UACGUAGGGUGCGAGCGUUAAUCGGAAUUACUGGGCGUAAAGCGUGCGCAGGCGGUUGUGUAAGCCAGAUGUGAAAUCCCCGGGCUCAACCUGGGAAUGGCAUUUGGGACUGCACGGCUAGAGUAUGGCAGAGGAGUCUAGAAUUCCUGGUGUAGCAGUGAGAUGCGUGGAUAUCAGGAGGAAUACCGAUGGCGUAGGCAGGUCUCUGGGCCGAUACUGACGCUCAUGCACGAAAGCGUGGGGAGCAAACAGG
RNAcentral lists this ribosomal RNA (253 nucleotides) under uncultured bacterium. Its description in RNAcentral is "partial 16S ribosomal RNA". It matches the Rfam family "Bacterial small subunit ribosomal RNA", at positions 524 to 776 of the family's 1533-position model. The record is from RNAcentral.